UGUCUAGUGGACAUAAUCACUAGUGGACAUGGCAUCUGCCCGGUAAGCGGAACGUUGUGGGUUCGAUUCCCAUCCCUGGACAC
This 83-nucleotide transfer RNA is filed under the name Cordylochernes scorpioides. RNAcentral's name for it is "tRNA-Thr". The record is from RNAcentral. Lineage: Eukaryota; Metazoa; Arthropoda; Arachnida; Pseudoscorpiones; Chernetidae.